AAGUUGAGAUAAAUCAAAUUUUGCAUUGCAGCUUUAGUUUCUCUUUGUCACUGUCCAAUUUGCUGGUUUCUAGGUUCAAUUUCAGCGCUUUUGUGCAAGCAAAUGCAAAAUUUUAGUCUUUCUUGUUUUGUGGUAGAUGGGAUUGUGUGGUUGUAUAUAAUUGACUUUUGUGAUUGUUGUGUGGUUUGUUUGGCAUUGGCGGUGGCAGAGGAGGAGGUUGGAAGGUGAAAGAUGAGGGAGAGAGAUCAAGAGGUUGCGGCAGAGGAAGGGGCUGUCGUGGUGGUGGCGGCGGCUCUGGCAAAGAUAGAGUUGAUGCACUCAGUAUAUUAUUCCACAACCUUGAAUUGUAGCAGGUUCUGGAGGUAUCAAAGGCUUUCAGAAGGUCAUACUCGAUAGACCCUCCACAUAAUUAAACUAGCCCAGAUCUCAAGGAAGUUCCAGAAAUAUUGCCUUCAAAAUGCAGUGAUGGCUUUCUUUUGCCUUGAAGUUGGUGGAAAGGGAUCAUGGAAACGGGUGCGAGAAAACUUGCGAGGAGCUAAGGGAGUUUGGGAAAACUGAAGAUGAUUUGAAGUCACUUCAAAGUGCUGGUCAAAUGAACCCUGAGCUCUUCCUUAGAGUGGGCAUCAAACCACCAAGGCAUGUUUUAUAUAGUAUUGCUGACUUCAUACUAUUAGUGACAUGUUCAGUAAAUUUUUUAUGCUUACCCUAGUAAUGUUAUCAUGCUAAGAGUCUUCUUCCUUAUUUUAUUGAAGUGUUCCAGGGUUUUCUUCUCUAUGGACCCCCGGGAACAGGGAAGAUAUUGCUAGCAAAGUAAUUGAGAGCAACAUAGAUGCUAACUUUCUAAAGUUAUUCAUGUCUGUGGCUUUUAUACUGAGGUUUUACUUUUUAUGCAAGAGAGUGCUUAUUAUUUUUGUUUCCUCAUGUACGUUAUUUCAUAUGAAAGCUAAAUAUACAUGUACAAUGUAUAUUUAGCUGUGUGUUUGAUUUUGCCCAAGGAUACUUUACCAUUACAUUAGAUCUGUCUUCUGAGACUAAAUCCACUGUCAGUUCUAUUAUUUACUGCUAGCUUAACUUUGUUUCUCUGUAUUGCAGCCCAUACAAAAUCUCUUUGAGGAUAAUGAUAUAGCUGAACAGCUCUUGCAAAGUGUUUUAGUAUGUUUCUUUUUUCAAUUUCGAUUACAUUUUCUUACUUGAGUGUUAGCCAAGAAUAUAAGGAUGGGCGAAAAGCUCAACCUACAUUUUCUCUGGCUUUGUGGAGCUAAAACUUGGAUUGAAAUUGAAGUUCUCUAUCAAGAUAACAAGCCUAGCUUGCUGGAUAUCUACUUGUGCUCUAAUUAUAUUAUUAAACACUUGUUCUGCUUAUAGGAGAGCAAAGAGCAGUUGAAACCCAUGGUGGCUUUGCUACAGCUUGUUUCUCUAUAUCGAAAGGUACAUGUUUAGAUAUGAAUCCAUCUCUUAAGUCUGAAAUUUAUGAAACAAGCCCUUACUAAACUUGUUUGUAUUUAUUAAGAGUAAACAUACUCUUAAUCAUUGAUGCUGGUUUCUUGAUUGUGUUGGUCUUUUCAUUUUUUGUUUUUUGCUCUAUUGUUGUUUCAGAGGUAAAACUAUUCAUCCCUGUAAUACUACAUUACUCAUCAUUCAAGGUAAGCUCAUUCCUCACAGUCUUGUCAUUAUAAUCUGCACUUGAUUUGAAAUUUAACAUUAUAACCUAUUGUUAUUAAUUCUGCUUUUCCAAUUCUUUAUGUAUAUAUAGGUGUAAUUACCAUUUACUUCUAUGUUCCCAAUUCUUAGUAAGGAAUAACUUGAGGAUUCUUGUGUUCUUUGAUAGUAUUAUAGGGCUGCUAGGUACAUAAUACAUUCUAGCAGUUAUCUAAUUGUAUGUUUUCUGGGUUGUUUGUUUAGGAUAUUAUUUGGCAAGGAGAUAUCAUGGGAGUUAAUGCAGUGCUGCAGUUAUUCAUGGUUGAUAUCCAAUCAGAAGAAUAGCAUAGUAUUCAUUAAGUUAUUUUUUCUGGUUCAUUUUGUAGUCACUUCAAACUUUUUUUUGUAUGUAUAUUAACAU
Rosa rugosa (rugosa rose) is the source of this 2059-nucleotide long non-coding RNA. RefSeq lists it as uncharacterized. The record is from RefSeq and is a predicted model, not a curated record. The transcript has 3 exons. Lineage: Eukaryota; Viridiplantae; Streptophyta; Magnoliopsida; Rosales; Rosaceae.